This 520-nucleotide unclassified non-coding RNA is filed under the name uncultured Glomus. RNAcentral describes it as "SSU rRNA". It matches the Rfam family "Eukaryotic small subunit ribosomal RNA", at positions 569 to 1091 of the family's 1831-position model. The record is from RNAcentral. Lineage: Eukaryota; Fungi; Glomeromycota; Glomeromycetes; Glomerales; Glomeraceae.
AGCAGCCGCGGUAAUUCCAGCUCCAAUAGCGUAUAUUAAAGUUGUUGCAGUUAAAAAGCUCGUAGUUGAAUUUCGGGAUCAAUAUAUCGGUCGUGCCUUCGGUACGUACUGGUAUCAUUGGUUUCUCCUUUCUGACGAACCAUGAUGUCAUUAAUUUGGUGUUAUGGGGAGUUAGGACUGUUACUUUGAAAAAAUUAGAGUGUUAAAGCAGGCUUUAGCUUGAAUACAUUAGCAUGGAAUAAUGAAAUAGGACGUUCGAACCUAUUUUGUUGGUUUCUAGGAUCAACGUAAUGAUUAAUAGGGAUAGUUGGGGGCAUUAGUAUUCAAUUGUCAGAGGUGAAAUUCUUGGAUUUAUUGAAGACUAACUACUGCGAAAGCAUUUGCCAAGGAUGUUUUCAUUAAUCAAGAACGAAAGUUAGGGGAUCGAAGACGAUCAGAUACCGUCGUAGUCUUAACCAUAAACUAUGCCGACUAGGGAUCGGAUGAUGUUAAUUUUUUAAUGACUCAUUCGGCGCCUUAC